UCACGACCCAAAUAAGAUUUCGCUUACGACAGAUGACGAAUCAUCAUGGUAAAUGUUAUGCGAGGAGUUUUGGUUGAAUGUGAUCCAGUAAUGAAGCAAUUUUUGCUACACCUGGAUGAAAGCAACGUUUUAGGAAAGAAGUUUAUUAUCCAAGAGCUGGACGAGACUCACCUGUUCAUUUCGGCUGAUAUUGUGGAUAUCUUACAAGACAAGAUUGAUGAACUGAUGGACCAGAAUGCAUACCCAGUGCUUCAGAAAUAAAAGCAGAACUAAACUUUUUAUUCCUGUCAUGCCAGUGUUUGUUGACAGGAACUACUAUUCACAAGAUAUGAAUUCAGGGUAUGAACUUGAAUCACCUUCAAGGCCAAAUACAAGGGUAUCAAGGCAAACUCCCUGGGCGUGCAAUUUUCUGUGAAGCGAUGUGACUUAUUUCACUUUUCUAAAUCUGGCAAGAAUCCAAACUCUGAAGUAUGGAUAUGUUAAUUUUAGUGUUGCUGGCAUGAUGGCGAUUUACUGUACAUGUGGGGUAAAUACAAUUAUAAUACCAAAACGUGAGUUACAGAUGGCAGUGUGGUGCAGGUCAUACAGAAUAAUUUUGUCACUAUUGGGAUGUGAUCCUAUUCAACUUCUGGUCCCUAGAGCAAUUUUUCAUCCCAGCAACAAAACAUAUGUAUGUGGAGAUAAUCACAAUAAAAUAUCACUACUGUGCAGUACUCUCA
Saccoglossus kowalevskii is the source of this 719-nucleotide long non-coding RNA. Lineage: Eukaryota; Metazoa; Hemichordata; Enteropneusta; Harrimaniidae. The record is from RefSeq and is a predicted model, not a curated record.